GGAAGCUGCUGGCUUAUUCUGGCAGCUCAGCUCCGUUGGAGGAAUGCUGCUGGCAUUCGGGAACCUGGAAGUGGGCCCAGAGAGGUGAAGGAGCUACCCAGCGUCACACAGCUAGCAAGUGCUGUCACUCAGACUUCCAACCCAACUAUGACCUCAUAUCCCUAAAGCCUGUACCUUGCCCUGCCUCUCGACUCAAAAGCAGAGCUAAACCAAGCUCAGCAGAAACAAAAGGUUCAAUUCUCCCAACAUCAAAUGCAACACCUGAGCUUUCUUUCAGGAGGUCCACCCCUUGAGAUGCCCCUUGCGCUUUACCCAAAGGAACUGAGUGAAACUUUACAUUAGACUCAUCCAGCCCCCCUCAGUACUGACUGGGGCCCAGAGAAAGCGCCCCUCCCCCUAGGAACCUCCAGCAAGGAGAUUCCGCUUGACCAUCUCUAAAAUGCUCUCUAAAAUGCGCCUUUUACAUUUCUUGAAAUCUGUGGUUCUCAGCCAGGGGCGAUUUUGCCCACCACCUGGGGGAGCAGGGUGGGGGUCUUUGGCAAUGUCUGGAGAGUUUUAGACUGCCACCACUGCGAUGGGGGCAGAUCCAGCAUGUAAUGGGAGGUCAGGGAUACUGCGGAAUACCUAGCGUCCACGGGAGAGCCCCCACACAACUAGGAAUUAUCGGAUCCAAAAGGCCCAUUGUGCUGGGGCUGGGAAUCCUUGGCUUAAAUGAAAGGGAAACCAUUUGCCUCUGGAUGAAAAAGCCAGCACAGGCCUAAACAAGUAGGUUCCUUGGUGAUAUUAAUAAGCAAUGAGCUAAUAAAAAUAGAUUAAAA
This is a long non-coding RNA of Marmota flaviventris (yellow-bellied marmot), 818 nucleotides long. RefSeq lists it as uncharacterized. The record is from RefSeq and is a predicted model, not a curated record. Lineage: Eukaryota; Metazoa; Chordata; Mammalia; Rodentia; Sciuridae.